UAGGGAAUCUUCCACAAUGGACGCAAGUCUGAUGGAGCAACGCCGCGUGAGUGAAGAAGGUCUUCGGAUCGUAAAGCUCUGUUGUUGGUGAAGAAGGAUAGAGGCAGUAACUGGUCUUUAUUUGACGGUAAUCAACCAGAAAGUCAUGGCUAACUACGUGCCAGCAGCCGCGGUAAUACGUAGGUGGCAAGCGUUGUCCGGAUUUAUUGGGCGUAAAGCGAGCGCAGGCGGAAUGAUAAGUCUGAUGUGAAAGCCCACGGCUCAACCGUGGAACUGCAUCGGAAACUGUCAUUCUUGAGUGCAGAAGAGGAGAGUGGAACUCCAUGUGUAGCGGUGGAAUGCGUAGAUAUAUGGAAGAACACCAGUGGCGAAGGCGGCUCUCUGGUCUGCAACUGACGCUGAGGCUCGAAAGCAUGGGUAGCGAACAGGAUUAGAUACCCUGGUAGU
RNAcentral lists this ribosomal RNA (447 nucleotides) under uncultured bacterium. RNAcentral's name for it is "partial 16S ribosomal RNA". It matches the Rfam family "Bacterial small subunit ribosomal RNA", at positions 355 to 794 of the family's 1533-position model. The record is from RNAcentral.